RNAcentral lists this ribosomal RNA (349 nucleotides) under uncultured rumen bacterium. RNAcentral describes it as "bacterial SSU rRNA". It matches the Rfam family "Bacterial small subunit ribosomal RNA", at positions 19 to 363 of the family's 1533-position model. The record is from RNAcentral.
UUGGCUCAGGAUGAACGCUGGCGGCGUGCCUAACACAUGCAAGUCGAACGGAGUUACGAGAGCUUGCUUUUGUAACUUAGUGGCGGACGGGUGAGUAAUGCGUGAGCAACCUGCCUUUCAGAGGGGGACAACAGUUGGAAACGACUGCUAAUACCGCAUAAUGUAUUUUGGGGGCAUCCCCGGAAUACCAAAGGAGCAAUCCGCUGAAAGAUGGGCUCACGUCUGAUUAGCUAGUUGGUGGGGUAACGGCUCACCAAGGCUGCGAUCAGUAGCCGGACUGAGAGGUUGAACGGCCACAUUGGGACUGAGAUACGGCCCAGACUCCUACGGGAGGCAGCAGUGGGGAAUA